Molecule: long non-coding RNA, 315 nt
Filed under: Phasianus colchicus (ring-necked pheasant)
Lineage: Eukaryota; Metazoa; Chordata; Aves; Galliformes; Phasianidae
Description: lncRNA (ENSPCLG00000007937.1)
Source: RNAcentral
CUCUUUCCUGCUGUUUUAUAGCUUCUGGUCACCAACAAAACAGAAGGCAUUAACCAGCUGAGGCUUCUCUGUUGUUCUCUGACUGCCUUUCCUCUUGGAGGUACAAUUAUAUUCCUUUCAUUUGUAUCAAGCUGAACACUUUGUUGUUAAUCUCUCAGCAGAUUCAAACCUGUACCCAGGAUGAUGGUUGCAGACUUCGCUGGUACCGCCACAGCACCUUCAGUGCAGGUUGAUGCCAAAGGUGACAGCCCAGAGCUCGGCACAGACUCUUUCAGCCACUUUCUUGGGUGUCCUUUUUUUCUUCAAGACAAAUGA